RNAcentral lists this ribosomal RNA (482 nucleotides) under uncultured bacterium. RNAcentral's name for it is "partial 16S ribosomal RNA". It matches the Rfam family "Bacterial small subunit ribosomal RNA", at positions 30 to 507 of the family's 1533-position model. The record is from RNAcentral.
AUUGAACGCUGGCGGCAUGCUUUACACAUGCAAGUCGAACGGUAACAGGCCGCAAGGUGCUGACGAGUGGCGAACGGGUGAGUAAUGCAUCGGAACGUGCCCAGUCGUGGGGGAUAACUACUCGAAAGAGUAGCUAAUACCGCAUACGAUCUAUGGAUGAAAGCGGGGGACCGUAAGGCCUCGCGCGAUUGGAGCGGCCGCUGUCAGAUUAGGUAGUUGGUGGGGUAAAGGCUCACCAAGCCAACGAUUGGUAGCUGGUCUGAGAGGACGACCAGCCACACUGGGACUGCGGCACGGCCCAGACUCCUACGGGAGGAAGCAGUGGGGAAUUUUGGACAAUGGGCGCAAGCCUUGUCCAGCAAUGCCGCGUGAAGGAAGAAGGCCCUCGGGUUUUAAAACUCUUUUGUUCGGAACGAAACGGCUUCGGUUAAUUCCCCGGGUUAAUGACGGUACCGGAAGAAUAAGCACCGGCUAACUACGUG